AAGGCUUUAGCUUAAUUAAAGUGUCUGUUUUGCAUACAGAAGAUGUAGGUUAGUGUCCUGUGAGUCUUA
This 69-nucleotide transfer RNA is filed under the name Melanotaenia praecox (dwarf rainbowfish). RNAcentral describes it as "tRNA-Ala". It matches the Rfam family "tRNA". From Rfam's summary of the family: Transfer RNA (tRNA) molecules are approximately 80 nucleotides in length. Their secondary structure includes four short double-helical elements and three loops (D, anti-codon, and T loops). Lineage: Eukaryota; Metazoa; Chordata; Actinopteri; Atheriniformes; Melanotaeniidae. The record is from RNAcentral.